AGCGAACGCUGGCGGCAGGCCUAACACAUGCAAGUCGAACGAACCUUUCGGGGUUAGUGGCGGACGGGUGAGUAACACGUGGGAACGUGCCUUUAGGUUCGGAAUAACUCAGGGAAACUUGUGCUAAUACCGAAUGUGCCCUUCGGGGGAAAGAUUAAUCGCCUUUAGAGCGGCCCGCGUCUGAUUAGCUAGUUGGUUGAGGUAAUGGCUCACCAAGGCGACGAUCAGUAGCUGGUCUGAGAGGAUGAUCAGCCACAUUGGGACUGAGACACGGCCCAAACUCCUACGGGAGGCAGCAGUGGGGAAUCUUGCGCAAUGGGCGAAAGCCUGACGCAGCCAUGCCACGUGAAUGAUGAAGGUCUUAGGAUUGUAAAAUUCUUUCACCGGGGACGAUAAUGACGGUACCCGGAGAAGAAGCCCCGGCUAACUUCGUG
Molecule: ribosomal RNA, 434 nt
Filed under: uncultured bacterium
Lineage: Bacteria
Description: partial 16S ribosomal RNA
Rfam family: Bacterial small subunit ribosomal RNA
Source: RNAcentral